Molecule: ribosomal RNA, 206 nt
Filed under: uncultured bacterium
Lineage: Bacteria
Description: partial 16S ribosomal RNA
Rfam family: Bacterial small subunit ribosomal RNA
Source: RNAcentral
UGCGUAGGCGGGUCUUUAAGUCAGGGGUGAAAUCCUGGAGCUCAACUCCAGAACUGCCCUUGAUACUGAGGAUCUUGAGUUCGGGAGAGGUGAGUGGAACUGCGAGUGUAGAGGUGAAAUUCGUAGAUAUUCGCAAGAACACCAGUGGCGAAGGCGGCUCACUGGCCCGAUACUGACGCUGAGGCACGAAAGCUGGGGAGCAAACA